UAAGCCCAAGGUCAAGUUGGAGAUGGUCAUCCAAGGUAAGUGGUGCCAAAGGCACCCGCCAUCUCCGCCAAAAGGGCUUGCCCUUGGGUGGAGGC
Molecule: non-coding RNA, 95 nt
Filed under: unclassified sequences
Description: DUF1874 RNA
Rfam family: DUF1874 RNA
About the family: Hot springs metagenome only.
Source: RNAcentral